GCCUUGGUCCUCUUUCUCCUUGGCUCUCACAUCACCAGCCUAGAGGGGCCUUGUUACAAAAAGGAAAGCUACACCCAGUGAAUUUUAGCUCCCCCUAUAGGCUGGCACUAACUGCGUGACUGGGCAGAGCUGAGCAGUUCUCCCCGAGUCUCUGACUGGUACAAUAAGGAAUUUUUACUUUGAGGCUCAGUCAGCUUUCUGAUGAAAGGAAUUCACUUCGGCUCAGGGAAAUAUAAAGGAUUUUCAAGGCAAUUGAAGUGCUGAAUGAAGAACGAAACUGUGGUCAAAUGGGAACCCACUGUAGGACGUGAAGUGUAAGCAGGAUUCCGUAGUACUAGAGGGACAGAAGCAGUGUUUCAUCGGGAGUCAGCCCAGAACAGGACAUGACAUACAGGAGAGGGAAAGCAGAGUCCAUCCGAAGGUGACAGAAGAAGCAGGCAUUUUCCGGCACCGGGACCAAACGUAUUAAAAGACUAAGAGAUUUGCUUCUAAGAUGUCUGGCAAUGAAGCACAAAGAAACACAGUAAGUUACAUAAUUUUUAUUGUCCAAUAAGACAAAGAAAUUCGAAUUCUUCUGCGGGAGCAGUUUUAUCUGGGAUCUAAAAGGCAAGCAGGAAUUUAUUCUGUGUAUCCUCCUGGAAAGCGUAUUGAGGGACGCUAAAGACUAUCUUUAAACAAUUGCUAAAGAAAUCCUAUUAAACCCAUUCACGUGGAUGGCUCUCUAUGAACUUGUCAUCCAAGCUCACCGUGAGGCAUCAGCUUCUAACCAGGGGAAGGUGUUUAUGCCACGCAGCUGAACGGGGGUUUGGGUGCGGUCUUCUGGUUCAUCUGCAGAGCUCUGCCUCUGAGAAGGCCCUUCACAUCCCGUGCUUCUCCAGCUUUGCACAAAAGCACCCUCACGUGAACACCAGCUGGGGGCGGGUGAGAAGAGGUUGUAGCCCAAAAAGGCCAGCUGUAAGCUAAAAAUUUCUUUGAAAAUUUGCAAUUUAUAUUUAAAGUUCAUGUGAAUUUUACAGUCUGUUUCGUAAUGUGUUUAUAGAUAAAAAUGUGUU
Non-coding RNA from Macaca mulatta (Rhesus monkey), 1052 nucleotides. NCBI's taxonomy places the organism in Eukaryota, Metazoa, Chordata, Mammalia, Primates, Cercopithecidae. The record is from RefSeq and is a predicted model, not a curated record.